UAUUCAACACUGCUCCGUACUAUAAUUUACGUUCUUCCUUAAUUUUGUUUGCUUCCUUCUGAACAUUAUCUUUUAAAAAUGUCUGCCAGCGGACAGAAAAAAAAUGGCAAAACUUAAACUCAGCGAAUAUAAAACUAAAAAAAGACGUCAGUUACGUCAAAAACUUAAAAAAGGUAACAAAUUUAGAUAAGGCUGAAGCCGAGGAUGUACUUGUAGCUAUUUUUAUAGGUAAACCUAAGGAAACUGUUGAGACUUUAUAUUUAAUAUCCACAUAAGAAAUGUGAUAUUAAUAUAAAUUUUACUAUGCGCCAUUCAUCGAAUGAAAUUAGUUGUUGCUAACGGGGUGUAAAUAAGUGAGUGAAAGAAAUAUAUUUAUGAGUGAUGCGUACGGUGUAAAUGUGUCGACUUAAUAAACAAAGUUUAGCUUUAUUUUAUCCGAAAUCCACUUUCAUUGGCAAUACGGCGAUUAAAAAUAACUGUUGGGUUAAAUCCUUUCUCUUGUUUUAUGAUAGGUUGUUUUGGAUUUUUUAGUACAUCUACGAUUCAGAUUUUAAAUAUUCUUCAAUCAUUCAUGUAUUUUUUUGCUAAACCAUCAAAUUCAUGCAUCGGGUCUGGUAGGACGUUUGGCAUAACGAAACUUGACAUUAGGGACAUUUGACUAAAACACGUUAUCAUAAGUGACAUUUGGCAUAACAACCUAUUUCAAUAACUAGUGAACUUCCAACUACACAAAAAGUAAUCCAAGGAACGAGAAUACACUGUUGCUAUCUCUCGACAAUAUAAACAGACAAGGAUGAUUUUUUUGAAAGAAUCUUUACCGGAAUCUAAAUUGCUUGCUUCGAUAGAGAACAGCAAAAGAAGAAAAAUCGCCGUUUCGGAAAAAAGCAAAAGCUUAUUUCUUCAACAAGUUUGUCUUCUUUCUAUUGAAUGCUGUUCUUCAUUUUUUCCUGGAAGAAAAUUUACGUCACAUUUUCUUUAUGCCAAAUGUUCUUUACGCCAAACGUUAUUAUGCCGAGCGUAUUGAACAACAUUACUUCAUAAUACUUAGUUAGCGGCUUUCACUCUCUGUUCGCUCCGUGUUUGGUCACUACAAUCUUUUUGGCAACACGACGUUACGAGAUACGAGAAUGACAGUUGUCAACGUCAACGUUGGAGAUGAUGAAGAGGAGAAAUGUGAUGACUCAUGGAGAAAGUGAUUUUGGAAUGCUAGGUGGGAAAUUGUCGAAGAAGUUAAAAUUGAAAUUAUUGUCGGAAUAUUGUGCGGAUUAAAGUAGGAGAUUUUUUGAUUGCUGAUAAGUAUAUAUCGCUGAGGUGUGAUAAAGACCCUUGUUGAGCGACGUACCGUUACGCAGUGGCUCAUAAUUAGUGAGUAACAAAUAAUAUUGAAUUAUUCCAAAUAUUGAAUUCUGAUGCUUAAUUUAGUAGGGUAAAGGAGGAUUCAUUCAUUAACUAUUGGGUACGUUCGGAUUGGCCAAAGAGAUAUCAGUAUUUUGUAAGUAUACGAUUGUAUGGGAUAAUUAAGUAUUCUAAUUAAAGGUCAUUUGCAGUUUGAGCUGUCUACACCAAGA
Long non-coding RNA from Aedes albopictus (Asian tiger mosquito), 1568 nucleotides. RefSeq lists it as uncharacterized. NCBI's taxonomy places the organism in Eukaryota, Metazoa, Arthropoda, Insecta, Diptera, Culicidae. The record is from RefSeq and is a predicted model, not a curated record. The transcript is spliced from 2 exons.